Molecule: ribosomal RNA, 427 nt
Filed under: uncultured bacterium
Lineage: Bacteria
Description: partial 16S ribosomal RNA
Rfam family: Bacterial small subunit ribosomal RNA
Source: RNAcentral
UGGGGAAUAUUGGACAAUGGGCGAAAGCCUGAUCCAGCCAUGCCGCGUGUGUGAAGAAGGUCUUCGGAUUGUAAAGCACUUUAAGUUGGGAGGAAGGGCAUUAACCUAAUACGUUAGUGUUUUGACGUUACCGACAGAAUAAGCACCGGCUAACUCUGUGCCAGCAGCCGCGGUAAUACAGAGGGUGCAAGCGUUAAUUGGAAUUACUGGGCGUAAAGCGCGCGUAGGUGGUUUGUUAAGUUGGAUGUGAAAUCCCCGGGCUCAACCUGGGAACUGCAUUCAAAACUGACUGACUAGAGUAUGGUAGAGGGUGGUGGAAUUUCCUGUGUAGCGGUGAAAUGCGUAGAUAUAGGAAGGAACACCAGUGGCGAAGGCGACCACCUGGACUAAUACUGACACUGAGGUGCGAAAGCGUGGUGAGCAAACA